UAAGGGAUCUCUUUGGACCCCCAGAAACCGACCGGCGUCCGAUUCCUCCAUGGAGCAGCACAAGGCCUGAUGCUCACUUUGCCCCUCACCAUGGACAGGGGGAGGAGUUACCACCCACCAUGUACCCACCAGCAGCCCGGCAGCACACUGUAUAGGACGCCCACCUUUCAAGCCCAGCUUGGCUUGCCCACCACUGAGAAUUCUGCUUCCGGUUGCUGGAGUUCAUCCCUGUUUGCACCUCCUUCGUAUUCAGCACCGUGUUUCCUGAAUGAAAACCAGCAAUAUUUUAAUACCCCUUCGAAUUUCUACACAAAUUCCACCAACGGGCUUUUCUCAGAUUCCAACUUUGCACCUCAAGGCCUUGCUGAUUUCUUACCCAGAAAUGGGGACUUCCCUCAGGUAAGG
Pseudonaja textilis is the source of this 405-nucleotide non-coding RNA. Lineage: Eukaryota; Metazoa; Chordata; Lepidosauria; Squamata; Elapidae. The record is from RefSeq and is a predicted model, not a curated record.